UGACUAUUUGCCUCACAUUACACAAGCAUAACUCUGAUCAGGCCUGAACCUGUGGAUGAUGGUGCAUGGCAGUUCUUCAUUCGUAGAAUGAUUUGUCUGAUUAAUUUCGAUAACGAACGAGACUCAAAUAUGUUCAGAAUGAUCGCAUUGAAGCUUUUAUGGCUUUCUUACUAGCAUAGUAACAUGUGUGAGUGUUUCAAUGUGUUUAUGAAAGUGGAACCAUAUCUGUCGGCUUGCUCUUUUACAGACCUCUAGGUUCCUUAAAUAGACAAAUUGCCUUUUGCGAGAUUGUGCAAUAACAGGUCUGUAAUGCCCGUUGGUUGCUCUUGGCUGCUCGCACGCUACAAUGAAAGUAUCAAUGUGUGUUUCAUUUACCUAUAGAUCCGAGCAAACCGCUGGACCACUUUUAUGCUUAGGAUUGUGAACUAAAAUUGUGCAUAUGAACGUG
Glossina pallidipes is the source of this 448-nucleotide non-coding RNA. The record is from Rfam. NCBI's taxonomy places the organism in Eukaryota, Metazoa, Arthropoda, Insecta, Diptera, Glossinidae.